GUUUAAGCGCCCCCUGAGGAGGUGGAGUCCAAAAAGUCCUUGGCCAAUUUCUAACCACUCCCAUGGUCAAUAAUUUUAUAGAUAAAUCAUCACAUCCACCUCAUAAAUUCCUCAUCUCUCAUUUGAGGUAGCUAGCCAACACCAUAAAGAGUGUUUGAUGUUACUGAGGACCCAAUCAAAAGGUAGGUUAUCCCCUUCAAACGUUCUUCUAUUUCGCUCCUUUCAAAUCUCCCAUUUAUAAUAUUACCAAUCUUUGGUAGAUUCGAUGAUGGAAGUUGUGUGAUAAUGCCUAAAACAUUUUGAGACAAAGGCACACUUACUCUCAAAAACAAGAAAACCAAGUCCAAAUCCUAGUAGCAAAAUGGCAAAGUAAAAAUAAAUGGACCCCAAACUCUGCAUCUUCCUUGCAUAUCAAACUGAUAUUUGGUAAAAUUUUCCCUUUUUUUAUCAAGUUAUCAAUGGUGAGGAUCUUAUCCUGGGCAGUCAACCAUAUAAAACUUGAACUUAAUGAUGUACCGGCCACUUCCAAAUUUGGGCUACUUGUGGCAAGGUCCAUCGCCAUCUGUCAUGGAAAAAAAAUCUAUAGCACGAUUUGACCGAAAAAGCUCCCUCGCUUUCAAUCUCCCAUGUGUUCUCAUCUUCCAAAUUAUGUGGGAUAUACACUUUGCGCAAAAUAUCCAGCAAAGAGCUUGAAUGUAGAAUUAGAGCAUCACUAAACUUAUUGUAAAAACAAUUCACACUCCAAAUGACAUGAUUACUUAUUCCUUCAAAAACCUCAGACACCUUCGCAUUUGGGUUGAUCACUCUCUCAAAAAUUUCGGGAAACAUAAGCUUUAGAGAAUAGCUCUCAACCCACAUAAGGUGUCAAAAGGCAAUCUGAUCCCCCCUACCAAUGUUCCAUCUUAAAUUCCUAGCGAUCAGAGGUUGCAUGCAAAGAGCAAUUGAUUUCCAACAAAUGGAUGUGUUAUUCCCUUGGUCAGUCCCUAGCCACAGUUCUGUCUUUCAAUGCCAUAUUUUGCUGCUAGAACUUUGAGAUGCACCUUACUUAUACAAACCUCGCCCCUUUAAUCAAAUGUCUCAGAUCCAAGCAUUGACCUGAACACUAUUCUAUCGUAGAGACAUUUCUUCCAAAAUAUCAAAAUAGAAAAUAUUUCUUCCCGUAUAAAUGCGUCCCCUUCUGCUUAGCUAUAUAUAUAGAAGGUCUUUAUGAUAUUAUCCUCGGCACAUGAUAAUCUUAUUCUGAAUUUUUGCAAAUGGAUCUGAUCUAUAACUAUACCAAUAAUGUUAAACAAAAAUUAUAGGGAUAUAGGACUGGUCUUGGAAGUUAGUUCCAUUCUCUUGCUUUAUCAUUAAUAUUUUAUUAAUUCAUCGAACUUUUUUUGAUAUAGAAUUUGAUCCUAAUUUUUAGGGAAUAUAUAAUCUUUAACAUGGGAGAUUAUUAAUCUGUAAAAUUAAAUAAAUUUUAAAAACUGGAAAAGAUUUUUUUGGAGAAAAUAAUUGAUCUAUUGAUUUUAUUUUUUCUUUGGAGGACUAUUAUUCAUGGGACCUGAUUUUGGUGGACGGUGUAGAUCUCCAGACCUGCAUGGUAACAGUUCAGGCUUGGACGCACCAAACAAUUUUCCUUUCUGUUUUGCUUUUAGUUUUUGGGGUUUUUAGGAGGACUUUGUAAUUUCAUGGGAUGAUAGAGAGAAUGAAGGCUUCCAUGUUGUCCAGGCUCCAACUUUGAUUUAGGUAUGAUUUCAAAGCAGUCACAUGAUUUAUUUAAUCUUAAUCAAACCUUAUAUGACCCAAAACUAAUAACAUCUGAAACAGGGGCAGCAUCCAAAUUUUUGAAUUUUGUUAUAAGAUACCCUAUGAUGUAGUUUCAUCCUGCUUAACCUUAUGGCACAAAGGAGAAGCAUGAAAAGCAUACAAUAAAACUACUUACUUUUGGUACACAUUUUGGCUACUAGAUGUGAAAUUAGAAGGCAAGGCUUUCUAUUAAUUGGGCGCAAAUUUCACAAUUUUUUUUUAAAACUUUGUGAUACACUCCAAGCUGUCGGAUUUUACAUCUAAUUGUUGUAGGUGAUUGUGAGUCUCAAGAUUGGUAACAUUUGAAACCAUAAUAGCGACCAAUUGAAGUUAUCACAGCAAAAUAUCAAGCCUCCCUAAAGGAAAUGAGAAUUAUGGGAAAUUUAGAAAAAUAUUAAUAUCUUAGGGCAUAUUUGGUAUGCAUGAAAAUACUUUCAUGAAUGUAUUUUUUACAUGAAAUAACUCCCUCAUGAUUAAGUAUGUGAAUUGUUUUUACACCAAUUGGCUGCAACGCAUUUUUUCACAUCAAUUGGCAAUCAAUUGAUGUGAAAAAAACUCCCACACCUAAUCACAUGGAGGAGUUUCAUGUGAAAUAUUUCUAUGUAUAACAAAUGUGCCAUUGACAUUUUUGG
RNAcentral lists this long non-coding RNA (2423 nucleotides) under Amborella trichopoda. RNAcentral's name for it is "long non-coding RNA (ATRI_LNC002343)". Lineage: Eukaryota; Viridiplantae; Streptophyta; Magnoliopsida; Amborellales; Amborellaceae. The record is from RNAcentral.